This 253-nucleotide ribosomal RNA is filed under the name uncultured bacterium. Its description in RNAcentral is "partial 16S ribosomal RNA". It matches the Rfam family "Bacterial small subunit ribosomal RNA", at positions 524 to 776 of the family's 1533-position model. The record is from RNAcentral.
UACAGAGGUGGCAAGCGUUGUUCGGAAUUACUGGGCGUAAAGGGCGCGUAGGCGGCCUUCUAAGUCAGACGUGAAAUCCCCCGGCUUAACCUGGGAACUGCGUCUGAUACUGGAGGGCUUGAGUAUGGGAGAGGGAUGUAGAAUUCCAGGUGUAGCGGUGAAAUGCGUAGAUAUCCGGAGGAAUACCGGUGGCGAAGGCGGCAUCCUGGACCAUUACUGACGCUGAGGCGCGAAAGCUAGGGGAGCAAACAGG